AUGCCGAGGCCAUGGAGGCAGGUGCUGGCGUCGGCGACCAAGUGCUGGAGCGCGGAGGAGGACGAGGAGGCCGCGGACGCCCGGAACUACCGCCCGCCCAACUCCGAGUUCUCGCGCCGGCUCGCCUCCUUCCGGCGCCUAUCCGCCAUGGCCAACAGCCCCGCGCCCACGGACGGCAAGGAUGACGAGGACAACGCCGACGGUGCGGGGGAGAUGGGGGCGGUCCCCAUGCGGCAGCUGCACUCCUUCAGCCUCAGCGAGCUUCGUGGCGUCACGCACGACUUCUCCAGCGGCUACCUCCUCGGGGAGGGCGGGUUCGGCGCCGUCCACAAGGGUUUCGUCGACGCCGGCAUGCGGCCCGGCCUCGAGCCCCAGCCCGUCGCCGUCAAGCAGCUCAACAUCGCCGGCCACCAAGGCCACAGGGAGUGGCUGGCCGAGGUGAUCUUCCUUGGGCAGUUCCGGCAUGAGCACCUGUUGAAGCUACUUGGGUACUGCUGCGAGGACGAGGAGCGCCUCCUCGUCUACGAGUUCAUGCCGCGCGGCAGCCUCGACAACCACCUCUUUAAAAGGAUAUCCGCGACGCUGCCAUGGGGCACCAGGCUCAAGGUCGCCAUCGGCGCCGCCAAGGGCGUUGCCUUCCUCCAUGGCGGCAAGCAGCCCGUCAUCUACCGAGACUUGAAGGCGUCCAACAUCCUUCUCGACUCGGAUUUCACGGCGAAGCUGUCAGACUUUGGACUGGCAAAGUUGGGCCCUGAGGGGGAGGAGACACACGUGAGCACCCGCGUGAUGGGCACCCACGGCUACGCGGCACCCGAGUACGUGCAGACGGGCCACCUAACGGUGAAGAGCGACGUGUACAGCUUCGGCGUGGUGUUGCUGGAGCUCCUAACAGGCCGCCGGGCAAUGGAGCACGUCCCUGGCCGCACUGCACGCGCUGAGCAGACCAUCAAGCUCGUGGAGUGGACCCGGCCCUACCUCGCUAGCAGCCGCCGCCUGCGCUGCAUCAUGGACCAAAAGCUCUCGGGCCACUACUCCGUCAAGGGCGCCCGCGCCAUGGCGCACCUGGCAGUGCGUUGCACGAACCCACAGCCCCGGGACAGGCCAAGCAUGGCUGUUGUGGUGGAGGAGCUCGAGCAGCUGGAGGGGCUCAAGGACAUGGCUGUCAGCAUGGGCCUCUUUUGGCCCACGGCUCCCGCUGCCGGGAGAAACGCACUCUCCGCCAAAUUUCGGGCCGAGAUGAAGGGCGCCGGCACCGGCGCCGUCCCGCGGCGGAGAACCGCGUCUGCCAACCUGUCGUGA
RNAcentral lists this ribosomal RNA (1299 nucleotides) under Triticum aestivum (bread wheat). Its description in RNAcentral is "partial small subunit ribosomal RNA". Lineage: Eukaryota; Viridiplantae; Streptophyta; Magnoliopsida; Poales; Poaceae. The record is from RNAcentral.